This 460-nucleotide ribosomal RNA is filed under the name uncultured bacterium. RNAcentral describes it as "partial 16S ribosomal RNA". It matches the Rfam family "Bacterial small subunit ribosomal RNA", at positions 338 to 795 of the family's 1533-position model. The record is from RNAcentral.
CCUACGGGUGGCAGCAGUGAGGAAUAUUGGUCAAUGGACGAGAGUCUGAACCAGCCAAGUAGCGUGAAGGAUGACUGCCCUAUGGGUUGUAAACUUCUUUUAUAUGGGAAUAAAAUGUUCCACGUGUGGGAUUUUGUAUGUACCAUAUGACUAAGGAUCGGCUAACUCCGUGUCAGCAGCCGCGGUAAUACGGAGGAUCCGAGCGUUAUCCGGAUUUAUUGGGUUUAAAGGGAGCGUAGGUGGAUUGUUAAGUAAGUUGUGAAAGUUUGGGGCUCAACCGGAAAAUUGCAGUUGAAACUGGCAGUCGUGAGUACAGUAGAGGUGGGCGGAAUUCGGGGUGUAGCGGUGAAAUGCUUAGAUAUCACGAAGAACUCCGAUUGCGAAGGCAGCUCACUGGACUGCAACUGACACUGAGGCUCGAAAGUGUGGGUAUCAAACAGGAUUAGAUACCCGUGUAGUC